CCCUUAGAUGUUCUGGGCUGCACGCGCGCUACACUGAUGCGUUCAACGAGUUUAUGACCUUGCCCGAUAGGGUUGGGUAAUCUUUUUAAAUCGCAUCGUGAUGGGGAUAGAUUAUUGCAAUUAUUAAUCUUCAACGAGGAAUGCCUAGUAAGCGCAAGUCAUCAGCUUGCGUUGAUUACGUCCCUGCCCUUUGUACACACCGCCCGUCGCUCCUACCGAUUGAAUGGUCCGGUGAAGCGUUCGGACCGUGGCCUUUGGACGGUUCGCCGUCUGUUGGCUGCGGGAAGUUCGUUAAACCUUAUCAUUUAGAGGAAGGAGAANUCGUAACA
RNAcentral lists this ribosomal RNA (329 nucleotides) under uncultured eukaryote. Its description in RNAcentral is "partial 18S ribosomal RNA". It matches the Rfam family "Eukaryotic small subunit ribosomal RNA", at positions 1470 to 1796 of the family's 1831-position model. The record is from RNAcentral.